GGAAAUAAUACAGCUCAGUGGUAGAGCAUCUGCUUUGCAAACAAGAGUCACCAGGUUCAAUCCCCAGUAUCUUCA
This is a non-coding RNA of Podarcis lilfordi (Lilford's wall lizard), 75 nucleotides long. The record is from the annotation of a GenBank genome assembly. NCBI's taxonomy places the organism in Eukaryota, Metazoa, Chordata, Lepidosauria, Squamata, Lacertidae.